AUUAGAGAAGGAUGAGCAAGGGAAGGAAGAGCCUGAAACAGCUGAUGCUAACAAUUUAGCCAUUGACUCUAGUAAUCGUCGUAGUAGAAGUGUUAGCAACCUUACUGAUUCUUGGAAAGAGGUCUCCGAGGAGGUAACAUUGUAUCACAGUUUCUUUUCAUGAAAUUCUUUUAAUACAAUGCAUGCAUACGUUGCUUUUUCUUAUGAAACCUUAAUUACCAGGGGCGACUGGCCUUUCGGGCUCUCUUUGCCAGAGAGGUGUUGCCACAAAGCUUUUCGCCUCCGCCCGAUUUGCUAAACAAGGAUCAGGAAAUGGACAGCAUCAAGGAUAACAAGCAAACCACAGAUAUCAAGGAUGAAGGCCAAGACAGC
RNAcentral lists this long non-coding RNA (372 nucleotides) under Arachis ipaensis. Its description in RNAcentral is "long non-coding RNA (AIPA_LNC000279)". Lineage: Eukaryota; Viridiplantae; Streptophyta; Magnoliopsida; Fabales; Fabaceae. The record is from RNAcentral.